ACUCCACUCUUGGUAAUUUCUGACUUUGCCAAAGUUAUCAACUCUGUGUUAAACAUUAGUAAAUAAUUUGUGUCAUCAUCUGCAGACCCUACCACUUGGCACAGUGUCUGGACUCUAUUAACAGCUGAAAAUCUGCCUCUGGAACCGAAGAGUGAUGGAUGGAUAAAUAGCUGAGAAAACUGAGAUCCUCCCAUCUACUCCUCACCUCUAACAGUGGAAAUCAAGCAAUCAGUUUGGACUAAAAAGAACCCAUAUUAAAGCUGACAGCAUGUGAGGAAAUGCAAGAACGUGGAUGUUCUGAGGCUUUGGCCACUGAAAUAGUUGCUAAUUGUCUAAUGAUGUUUGCCCUCAAGAAGUGUUCAUUUAAUCGGGUCCUUCAUCAUUGGUCCAUAAGGGAUGGUUCUCCUGUUUGAAGUCUAUGUCUACAUUCUAUUUUUGAUCAUGAAAAGGAUGUAGAGAUACUGGAACGUAUUAGAAAAAUGUAAAAAAAAAAAAUAUAUAUAUAUCACAAUGACGAGCAUUUUAUUGAGGAAAGAUUGAGAUGACCAAAUCACAUCUCCUGGUGAUAUGUGGAAGGGAAGGAAUCCCCAGACAGAGAUGACUCUCCUCCGAGUCAGUGAGACAUUGAAGAACAAGGCAUUUGGGGGAGCGCAGCAGAGAAGGAGUCAAGAGGCAGCAAGGACAGCAAGAGAAGCCUGUGCUAAGGAGCAGAAUUUUGUCUUGAAAAGCCUCAAUCCAGGACUGCCUAUCUUUGACCUAUGCUGAAAUAGGUCAGAUUCUCCAGUCCUGUCUAGAAUCCAGGGAUGCAUCCCUGACUGCAGCCCACUGGUCCAAGCAACAUCGCCCUCAUGUCCCAGCCUGUUCUCCUGACGGUGCCAGCCCCCAUUACUGAUAACAGUAUGAGGGACCAAUUCCCUGCCUGAACCCCAGAGAUGAAUGUAACCCCUCUACGCACUAACAAUAAGGAGAAAACUAGGAGGGUCAAACAUCCAAAAUACAAACCAGGAAAGGUGCAGAGAAGUGAAAGUGGG
RNAcentral lists this long non-coding RNA (1031 nucleotides) under Sus scrofa (pig). RNAcentral's name for it is "lncRNA (ENSSSCG00070024557.1)". Lineage: Eukaryota; Metazoa; Chordata; Mammalia; Artiodactyla; Suidae. The record is from RNAcentral.